ACCAGGCACGUGCUGACCAUGAACCAUGCUCUUUCGGAAAGAAGCCUCUCCUGACCUCAAGCAAUACAGCUUUCACCCCGCCUUGGGAUCCUUUGUUGUUCUCUAAUUAUGUCGAAAACAUUCUGCCUCAGAUUGUUAACAUUGUGCUCUGGGCCUGUAGUUUUUUUAUCUCUUCACUUCUUCUUUCUCUAGAUCUGUUAUCUGCACCACCGGCUGAUAAGAUGCUCCCCCACAGCUUGGAGUCUUUAAUGCAGUAUAUUUCACUGCAAGUGGGAAUGCUGAUGCAACAUAAUAGCGGCCCGGCUCAGCUAUAAUUUUCACUCCUGAGCCUGACGGAAAAUACUUGUCUAAUGCUGGAUUGAUUACACUGGUGAGCUCUUCAAAUUUAAGCUUCACAUAGUCAGACCCAGGAAGUAAUCGGACUAUUUUAUAUCGCCUUUUUC
Molecule: long non-coding RNA, 443 nt
Filed under: Dasypus novemcinctus (nine-banded armadillo)
Lineage: Eukaryota; Metazoa; Chordata; Mammalia; Cingulata; Dasypodidae
Description: lncRNA (ENSDNOG00000051076.1)
Source: RNAcentral